Long non-coding RNA from Leptonychotes weddellii (Weddell seal), 641 nucleotides. RefSeq lists it as uncharacterized. The record is from RefSeq and is a predicted model, not a curated record. NCBI's taxonomy places the organism in Eukaryota, Metazoa, Chordata, Mammalia, Carnivora, Phocidae.
AACUUCCAAUAUCAAAUUUUAGCACAAACCCUAUAAAAUCUAUCUUGUCAGAAUGUGCCAGAACCUCUAAGCCCUUCCCGGCUGAACAAACUGCAGCUGGUGCUUCAUCCUGAAAGGAGAGAAUCGACUUUGCGUGUGGGGUAUAGGAAGCACACCGGCCCCGGUUUUCGCCCAGCUGCCGGGCCGACGGGGGAAGGCGUGGGUUUAGAUUAGCCGUGUCCUACGCCGCUUGACGGGGUGACACGGGUCUGUAGGGCCGAGCCCGGGGCCUGGAGAUAGGGCCAGCCAGCAGGAAUGCAGGGAAUGUUUUUCUUCGGACUCUAUCGAGGCACACAGACCAUGGGGAUUCUGUCCGCGGUGACAGCCUUAACAUUUGCCAGAGCCCUGGACGCCGCUCUAGAAAUGGCAUUGCCCACCCUGGAAGUGAGAAGCGCGGAGUAGAGAAAAGGAGGGAACCCGAGAGCAAUUUCUCUGCCUCUGGGAUCAACCCUGCACCAAAGAAAAAUAACCUGGAGAAAUUAGUCUGCAGCCAGGAACGAGGCUGGGAUCAAAUGGUUGCUGAUUGGAGCAAAUAUUUAAACGGGAUAAGUCAAAUCGAGCAUUAUUAAAUAAAGCUUGUUUAAUAUGUCUCAAACAGAAAA